UCUUGGUAACAGCUGAUAGCGACAUAUUAUAACGAGGCUUCGUUUAUUUCAACAAACCAUUCGCAUUCGUUGUUUCGUCGUUAGCAAAACGUGCAGAAUAUAUGGUUGAAACGUGUAGAAGAUAUUAGUAAACGGUAUUUGCUCGUUCUAUAUAUAAUAGCAAGGUAUGUGCACACUUCUAACCUCAAUUAUACGAUUAUAAAGCAGCAUUUACGAUUAUUUUCUACGCUGUGUUUAUAAUAAUAUUCGUAGAUUAGCCCUCAAAGAUACGGAUGCAAACACAGUGCACCGUUAGAUGCAAGAUUUGUUCUCAUUUUUUUUUAUCGAUGUUCUAAUAAAAAUGUUUAAUCGUACAAUGAGGCACUUUUUAUUUCAAAGUAUCUUCUAUUUAUCGGUUAUAUUCAAAAUGCCCUAAAUGUCGAUUUUCAUACAAUUUUUACAAUUGUAAGAAGUUCAAGCGCUCCGAUCAUCAAUGACCACCGUGACGUCACAGGAGAAACCGUGGCCAACGUGGCAGUCAAAGUGUUAAAAGCACAGGAGACAGAGAAAAACAAUAGAAGAUAUUCGUACGAACUUACCAGAGCUUGUUUCAGAGUCAUAGACAUUUUUGUGUUUCAAUGGCAAGCAACUGCUUUGCAAUGGAGUCGUGCAAGACCUACUGUCUGACCUGCUCGUUCCUCGGAUUUAAAUCCAGUAGAUUUUUUUAUUUCUGCAGUUACUUCGAAGCAAUUGUGCAUUCGAUGGCCAUUGCCAGUGUUGAAAUAGUUCGUGCACGUAUACAACAAGGUUGCCAACAGAUUCAACGAAUAGCUGGAAUUUUUUUCAAUGUUGUGAAAUUCUUUGAUACUGACGACUGCAGGUUUGCAUACAGUGCCGAGUGUGGCAGUCAUUUUGAGCAGCUGCGGAUCAUCGGGACAUCGAAAUGACUCUAACUUUGAAACGAGAUCAGAUAGAAGAGCAUGUGAACAUUUUCCCUCAGUUUCCGUACUUUCUGUUCUGUUAGUAAGAAUUAAUGAAACUCGAAUCACGAGCAAAUAUUUACAAUUCCCAUUGGUGGUGGCAACGCAUAUCAAAUGCUGCUAAUGAAAUGUCAAUUAACGUCAUUUAGCGAGAAAUAUUCGUAAGGGCGUUUAUACGAUGGUUCCUCGAAUCGAGACAACUAUGUCACUGUCGAUAAAUUUUCCACUAUGUUGGUAAUUAAUAGGCAAUACGAACUUGUCAAACGCAGUAGCUUUACACGUUUGCUAGAGAAAACUAUCCCUGCUAAACGUUGUAUAAAUAGAGAAGCAUUUCGAUUUUCGAUGGUUCGACUCUACCAAAAUUUCCCCCUUCGAAACUAAAUUUCACACGCAUAUUCUAUUUUGAAAGAAAAAUAUCGAAUAAUCGAACAGAAGGAGGAAAUAUUAAAUUAAAGUAAAUAUCGAAUCGGAUUGAAUUUAAUCGAAGUAAAACGUAAAGGAAAGCUUCCUCGUUUCUAGAAACUACCGUUCCCAACAUUUCUUAAAAUAUGUGACAUCGGACAACGUAGUAUCAAGAAACCUUAACGUGGAAAGGGAUAAAGGAAAAAAGCAGGGAAUAUUGAAAGCAUCUUCCGAUCUGUAAAAACUAGCUACUUCUUCCAAAAUUCUCUAAAACCUUGGAAAAUAUCGAUCUCUACAAUACUCCACGCUAUAAUACACUAAUAAUAAUAAUAAUAAUAAUGUUGGUCCUCAAUGGUUUAAUAGAUACGCUCCUAAUUUCUAACUUGAGACCUUUCUAACUUGGGCGUUCGCUAAUAAAUAGACCGCGGAUUUUUAUGCAAGUUCAUACCUUGAAGAAUGUAACUAAAAGAAGUAGUAGGUGAAUUAAUUCCGUCUACAAUGGAGGACGAAAGAAAGUUUAAGAGGUAAGCGACACAGAUUCACAGAAAAAAAAGGAAAGAGUUUUACAAUCGACAGGAACAAUUACAUUAUAGUUAACAUAAAAUACAGAUGAUUGCUAUCAACAAGCUAAAGAAUAUCUAGUACAACGAAGCUACCGCCGACGACACGGUGUCGUUAUUACAAAGAAAUACGAUCUUCAAAUUCUCUUUUCGCCGCAAUCGCAAUUUUGAACUUUCCAAUUCCCUACAUACCUGAUAACAAUAGUGCAAUUACGCAAGAGAUUCCAUCAUCCGGAAAAAUCUUCCAAAAGCCAAACAUAAAGCCAUUAAUUCCGCCGAUAAUUCGCUGGCACCUUUCCGAGGUUUGGAACGCCUGCGUUCGUCAUGAAAAUGCAAAGAGACUGUGGAGAUCCUGAAUAGGACAAUGCGUUCCCAUCAGUGGAACUAAUUAAAUUCCGCAGCAACCAGGUUCGCUCUCGAGAUGACGACGUGCUAGCUUCUCUCUCUCUCUCUCUCUCUAUCUCUCUCUCUCUCUUUCUCUCUCGAGUCCUUUGGAUCGAGAUCCUUCUCGUUCGUAGGAAGGAUGAGGGCGAAACCUUGGCUGCACCGGCUCUCGAGGACGCUUUUCCAUUUCCUGACUGUAUGCCACGAUAAGCUAUCUGACCCGCGGCGACGUUCGAGGACGUUUCCAAGGCCCUAAAUCUCUACGUCAGAGCCACACUGGCGGCGACGUCUCGGUGACGUGGUAUGCUGCACCGGUAUAUAUGCUCGCUAGCCAAGCCAGGAAAUUGGGGAAAUGAAAAGUGGCGGGCCACUGUCAUCGACCUCUGACACGAUCCUCUGCGUGUCUUGAUGGAAUCGGAAACUGUCUUUGCCAGAAUUUGGCUUACGAUGGUUAUAGGCUGGCUUUCGCGAUUACGCUCAAGAUGUAUGGCUUUCGGGAGAAAUUUAGACGAAGGCUAGCGAAGGAAAUGGAUAAUAGGAUAUCGUAUUAUAUUAAACGUUAUCGUAUAUUUCCGUUGUUAGAAUUUUCAUUGUACAUGCGAUGGUCAUCUAAGUGGGUUUCGCGAUUAUCGUCGAGAUACGAUGGAUUAUUUGGAAAUUGACCGGGUUCAGUUCACUUUUGCGUUACUGAUGCAUCGCCAGCAAAUAACAGAGGUACAACGUUCGCGAGAAUAGAGGGAUGCUGUUACGGGCUGCAGCUUUUUCAAGGCUUUAAAGCUCGCGGAAAUUUUUAUCAAAGCAAUCUAUAUUUUAUUGUAAAGCAAUCUAUAUACAAUAAUAAUAAUGUUGGCUCUCAAUGGUUCAAUAGAUACGCUACAAAUUUCUUCUAACUCGAGACCUGUAAUAAGUCUAAUAAGUAGACUGCAGAUUUUUGCAAUUUUUAUGCAAGUUCAUAUUUUGAAGAAUGCAACUAAAAAAAAAGUAGUAGGUGAAUUAAUUCUGUUUACAAUGGAGGAUAUUAUACAUAUGUAUAUUAUAUUAUUAAAAACAUAAGAAAAUAGUUUAGAUCAAAUGUAUUUAUUAGGAUAUUUACCGAUCUUCGACAAAAUACGAUCAUUGAAUUUUAGAAUUUCGUAUCUUUUUAAAUAAGACCUUGGAAACUCGGAUGUCCAAGAGUUUUGCACAAAAUCAACAAAUUCGUUGCUAUAUUUGGCAGCGAAAAAUGAGCCACAAAAGAACCACAGAUCAUUAUUCGUUCGGUUGUGCUCUUCACAGUAUUUAGUAUUUACAGGUAUCUCGUAUCGGUUCGAUAGCUAGCACUAUACCGUGUUCUGUGCAGAAAAAUUGAUGGAAAAAAAAAAGAAGGAAAAAGAGAGGUGAAAGGUGUUCGUGGAAGGGGAAAAGAGGCCGAUGGAAGCUAUCUAUUUUUUCCUCCUCUUUUUUUCAGCGAGGAAAGCUAUCGAGCCUGUCGCCGGAAUAUGAUUCAUAAACGGAUCCAGAGGAACGUUUGACCCGGGCCGAAACGGUUCAAUAAAUUCUUCUUCCCACCCUUUCGCGUACAAUCUUCGUUGCAGCUUCGACAGCUCGUCCCAUUUCCAACAGAACAAACAAUUAUUUCCUCUGUCUGAUUCCAUUUGGAAAAACGACUCAUCGACCAGAGGAUGUUCGAUAAACAUCCCUUUUUCCUGGCUUUAUCUAUCCACGAUACAACGAUCGACCAUCUUUCGAACGUAGGCGAAGUCGAUACGUUUAUAUCGUUGUUUUUAGAGAGAAUUUCGUCGUUCGUUUCGUUGGCGAAUGCGACGCAAGGGGUUAAGGGAUGAUUUACAAGGAAAGGGAUGAACAGAGAGCGUCGAGAUAGUAUCGAGGGGGUGAGUUUCGAAAUGUCGAAAUCACAUCAUCGUGACAUCGAUAGUACGAGGCUGUGAAAAUUGUCUGGGAAUUUUGGAAAUGUUUUUCUUCGACGCUUUACGAAUGUAAGAUAAGAUAGAGAAGAUUAUGCAACAGCGGUGAGAUAGUUUCUGGAAUUUCCAAACUAUCAGGAUGACAGCGAAAGGUGGAAAUUUGGAAAUUUUUAAUAUCGUAUCGUCUAUGUUCGAUAUUGUUGUCUAGAAUUUGAAAAAUUAUAUCAUCGACCACGAAUAUUAACUUUGUACGAAUAUCGAACACCGUAUGAAAAGUUAAAUCGUUCAGGUGACAAAGAUUAUUCGAAACUUCGUACCAUUAUAUCAGGUUGUCCGAAAAGUUUCUUUCGUUUGCUAAGGUGAUGAUAGAUGAACAAUAAUUUCUGUUUUAUAUUAUUUUAUUAAAUUACCUAUGAUCCGUUUCCUUCUAUUUCUAUUAUUAUGUUCGUGCAUAAUUCGAUAAACCAAUAUAAAACAAAAAAACAUUGUGCGUCUAUUGUUUCCUUAUAAAACGAAGAAACAUUUCAUAACAUUUAUUUCAUCCUAUUUUCCAGUUCGAUUUUAGUAAUACUUGGUUGUAUUACGAAGCAGACUAAAUUUAUGAGAAUCUCCUGACGGAAGUAUCAAACUAAAAAUCAAAUGAAUUGCAAUAUUUUUGUUGUUGGAAACAGGGUAGAACAUUCCAGUUAUAUAAGGUUAAACAACAAAGAAGGAACCGCGAUACAUUACCAGGAUUAAUGGGGAAAGGAAAGAUUUACUGCAUCGAGAAUUUUGAGCGUUUAGCGAGAGAUAUAUAGGGGUGUGGGAAUCUGUAUCGGAAAAUCUGGGUCGCUGGAAAGCUAGUGCUCGACACGUUGAAAGAGAGAACGUAGAACGUGGCUCGGUCUAAAGCAACAGGGAAUAAGAACUUUACUGCAUCGAAACUUUUGAAAUACUGAGAAGAUAAAACUUGUAAUGUCUCAAAGAUUAAUCAUAUUUAGAAAGUAUCGACGUACGUGUAUCUACAGGCCAUAACUUUGCAUUGUCAUCUUGACUAUUUGAAAACUAUAAAUCUUACGAAAACCUUCUGUCUCUAAUUUUUCCUGCUUGUCUUUUAUGCUUAUAAAAGGAGGAAAAAUAUAAUUUUUAACACUAGAACUAACUCAAAUCGACUGGUCUUACAAUUUUAUUUGAAAAUUGUUACUCCGUGUUAUAUUCUUUUUUCAGGCAAUGACGUAAUGACUUUCGUAACGAUAACUAAAAGAACAAUAUAAUGAAUUUUAAUUUGCUUUUUGUGUAUUCAAACUGAAAAUAAUUUUGUAUCAAGGCUACUUAUACCAAUGCCAGUCAAAAUGACCAGUCAAAAGGAUCCUGCGAUCUGUUUAUCGAACCUCAAUUAAACAAUUUCCCCGUUUUGUACAACUUGCCACACGUUUUCAAAUUUUUACCGCGUAUCAUUCGACACGACGAUGUCGGUUAUCAGGAAAAUUCCGGAUCGAUCGCUACAUCGUUAGAUGCUAACACUAGAAAUACCACAGCAGUGAAAAUGACUGGUUCUACAAUUUUAUAAAUGUGUUAACCCUCGUUUAGGGAUCCCAGAUGGAUUAAUAAUACCAAAAAUGUACCACAUAACAUGGAAUUCCUUCUGUGAGAAAGUAAUAAAUCAAUAAAUAUAAAAAUAUUCCACUAUUACGUGUUUUUUAAAGACCAGUCAUUUUGGCUGGUUUUUGAUAGAAAUAGUUUCGUGUUAACUAUCGGUAGUUCUAGCGUUAAGCUAAUAUGUCGCGUAAUAUUAAACGAAACUAGUAAACUAUUUGAAUAUUUCUGAUUUCCUAAUGAUAGUAGCGGCAGUAGUAUAUAUAAAUCUUUGGAAAUAAAACUUGGAAGAAGUUCUUCUUUCAGUACCUACUUCUUUGAAAAUCUCCAACUUUCAACAUUCUACUCUACAAUUACUCUUCUUUUCUUCUUCUCAAUAGUCUACAAUCGUUAUUAUUCCGAAACUUCUCCUUUCACUUUUCGUUCUUUGCAAAAUUCGAAUAAUUUCUCUCUCCUCAUUUUACGCAUCACCCUUGAACUUGACUUAUUUACGAUCCUCUUCUUCUUAAGGUAUCUUACCGGUUUGAUUUUAAUUUCUACUAACUUUUAUCCGACUUGUUUCUUCUACUGUGAAGUAAAAAGGGCAGUGUAUAUUAAAAAUUAUUUCCGACCAAUAUACCUUGUCUUUCCAGAAGCAUCGCUGUACAAUUGGAAACUCUAUUAGGAAAACAAUUGGCAAUCUCUUCAAGAACUAAAAAUUAGCAAAUAUCAUCGAUCGAGAUUACUCAAAUUAAAAAUAAAAUAAGAUGGUAAAAUAAAUUCAGAAACACAUCCUUUUUAUAUACCGAAGAUGCUUCGAAAUUUCUUCAGAAUCAACUUCUAAUAAUCAUUUACGUAACAAUAAUAUACAAUAAUAAUGUUUGAAGACUUAAGAUUCGGUCAUCGAUAUCAAAAAAAAUAUUUCCAUAAAUCAGAUUGUUGGCUGUGACGAUUACACUUGCAGACAAAAUUCUUCUAUACACUAAGAAUGCUUCGAAAUUUUGCUAAGAUCCGAAAGCUCCUUAAAACCAGUUUCCACGAGCAUCUAGUGGAAUUUCGAAACUUAAAACUUCGUCAUCGAUAUAAGAAGAAUAUUCUGCAAAGCCUGAAGCACCUCGAAAUCCUCUCGAAAUUUAAAAAUGCCGAAGAGCAACCCUCCUCGAUAUCCCAAGAACCAUCCUUUAAGAUCCUUUAAAACCCUUCCUCGACCCCGAAACAAAAGAAAAUUCGGUGUACAACGCAACCAUCCGACCGCAUCGACGAUAGCCGUCGGUCUGAUAUCGAUAAUCGUACAACAACAUCCCGAAUCAUCUAUCCCCGUAAUAAUUUAAAUUAUUUAAUAAUUAAUUAAAUCCCCGUAGUUAGUAAUUUAAUUGAAUUAAACGAUUCCGUCUUCUCGAGAAUUACAAACGGCUAACCGAAUAUCGCAGUCGAAAUUUGGUCGCCGGUACACGAAGAAUACUCUUGCGAAUGCGAAAUAUUCGAAAAUGCCUUUGAAAUCGAGAAAUUCUGGAAAACUAGCGUAACUUCUCUGUGUCCGAAAAUCCCGCCUUCCAACAGCCUAAAGCCGUCUUUCAACGGCGCGACAAAAAGUUCCUGUAUUCAGCGUGAUCGUCUCAGCUGGUGGCAUCGACGACAGCCGACAGGGUAAUAUCGAAUUCCAUGUGGCACGCGAUCCUUUUAUUAUUCCGUGAAAGCGAAAAACUUGCCUGGUAUAGCAGGGACGCGCCCCUUCCGUCGACCUCGCCCCUUUUCGCCACCCUUACAUAUCCUCUCGCCCUACCUGCACCUCCUCCUCAGCCAUCUCUUGUCCCCCUUUUUCCUUCGUGGCUCGUCGCCGUAACGACAACGAUCGCCGAGGUUUCAAGGCUUUCCCGUGACCCCCGCUACGCCCCUCUUCACCCCCUUUGUGUUAUCCGGGGCCGGUUUUUAAUUAAUCCAUCCACGCCGCUUAUAAACGAUCGAUGCCCGUUCCCGUUUUACGAUCAACGCUUCCGUUCGCCUCUAAUCGACGUCGACCACCACGGAUUCUCACCCCUUUUUCACCCCGUGGCUAAACGGAGACCGGGUUUCUAGGGCGGAUCGUUGCGCUUCAUACAGAUGGUGAAUGUGAUGGUUGGUUGGCUGGUGGUGGUGGUGGUGUGGCGAUGCUUUUUAAGAUCUGCUUCUUUCUUUUUGCUUCUUAUUUUUUUGUUUCUUCUUCUUUUAUUAUUUCUUCUUUUUUUCUUCUUGCGGAGGAAGACGGAGGGUUUCUUCGUUUUUCUUCGCACGAGGAUCGUGCCUUUCCUAUAGGUUUCUGACUCUUUGCCUUUCUCUUUGUGCGCUUCUGUAUUGUGUGAAGAAGCAUUUCUUCUUUUCUUCGGUGUUUGUCUCUUCUUUUGAUUUUUAAUCGAGUACUCUGUAUCUUUGUCUUCUUUCUGAUUCUUCUUCGUUUUUCUUUGUGGAAUGUCGCGGUGGUGGUUGGUUGGUUAAUGGGGCAAUUGGAAACUGCUUCUUUUUUCUUCUUUUUGCUUGUAAGCGCAUUCUUUGUUUUCUUUGGAAUAAUCCGUUUCCCGCUCGAGGACUGUGGUUUUCUGAUUCUUUGUUUCGCUAUAUGCGCGAGUACUUUCUCUUCUUUUUAAUCGGCUUGCUUCUUCCUUCUCUCUUUAAUCGAUUACUUUGUAUCCUUUUUCGCUUGUCGUUUUCCUUUUCCUUGUUUUCUGAAUCUUCUUCUUUUUUCUUUGCGCAAUACCCACGGUUGGUUGGUUAGGUGACAGUAUCGGUGCUGAUGCUAUUUUUUUGUUCGUGAGAAUACUCUUCCUUUCCAUUGGGUUUCUUCGUUUCUCUUUGAUCGACGGAUCUUCUCUAUGGUUUUCCGAUUCUGUGUUCUCCUCUUUGUGUUUGAGUACACGAUAAAAAUUGUUGGUUUUCUCUUUCUUUUUUCUUCGGUCAGCUGCUUUUUUCCCUUUUCCCCCUUUUUAUUCGGACACCUUACCCUUUCUUUGAUUUCUCGAUUCUUCCCUUUUUUGUGUGCGAACAUUUUUUUCCCCUCUUUCUUCUUUGUGCACGAGGAACAGGUACUUUCUCUUCUUUUUCUUUUUCCUUCGUUUUUUCGGUUUUCUUCUUUUUUCACACAUUAAAUGAAUAUUUUUUAGUUAGUAAUUAUCCACCUUUUUUCGUUACGCGCGAACAAGUACUUUUUCUUCUUCCUCUCUCGUGGUCUUGAUCUUCCUUCUUCUCUCGCACAAUAAUUGAAUUUUUUAACGUACAUAUACAGGGUGUUUCCGAAAUCUACUGCUUCCGAAGAGCAAGUCGAACGUAUACAAUAUAAUUCUUCCACUUUCUUCUAACAUCCAACAGCGGGUAUUAGACGUUGUGUACAGAACAUAGAUCAUGCGAAUAGCAUGAGAAGCGCUGUAAGAAUCGUAGAAUCUAAUAUACAACUUUGGGACUAUUAAGUAUGCCAAAUGGAAUAUUGGAGCAGGAAAGAAGAAGAAAAAGAAGAUGGUCUAAAUAACGACAUAUUUCUCAGUACAUCGUAAAAAUGUACUUUUCUUAUACACACACACAUAUAUAGUUACAAUCUUUCUCUUUUUUUAAAUAUAUUUAUCUUCGCUUAUAGCUGUAACUAGAAAUACGCGAGGUACAAGGUAUUCCUCUUCGAUCAAAAAUUUCUCGCCAAUUCCAAAAAAUCAAAGAAUCCAUCGGCGUAAUUACCGAUAAGCGAUCGAUAAACGAAAACAGAGACGGAGAUAGAGACAGAGAGAGAGAGAGGGGGAGAGAGAGAGAGAGAGAGAGAGAGAGAGAGUGGCGAGGUGAACCGCUAAUUGCAAGCAAAAUCGAUUGUUUCCCCGUAUCAGAAAUUCAUAGGCUAACUCGGCCAACUAUCAACGAGCUUUGCCAACUUUCAGUUGCGCCGAGUUGAAAUCCUGCAAAUGUUGCAUCCAUCGUGUCGGCGGAAUCCAAUUAUCGAUGAACAUCGAACGAAAAUGGUUAAAUGGAAACACGAGCCUGAUAGUAUCUAUAACGUGAUCGUUAUCCUAACUUUGGUGAAAAGAUGCUUGCAAUCGUUAAUAGCGAUUCUUUCAGGAGUAAAAUUUGGCUCGGUAAAAGGACGUUUAUAACAGUAAUAAGAAAACUUGAUAAAUAAAUCUUUUUAGCUAAUUGUUUGUGUUUAAUCGUUGUGUUUUAAUUUGUUCGCUUGAUGGUGUUUGAUACGUUUGACGUUUAAAUAAAAUGUGAUAUUACUUAUUGUUGUAUAAUUAAUCGUCUUUCAAUGUUGUACAAUUUAUCGUGCAGUAUGCUGUUGUGAGCGUUCCUUCCUUUUUUUUCUUUUUUUUAUUUUAACAUUCUCUCGUUUUACGAACGUUUUUAAUUAAUUUCUCACAGCCGGGUAUUCUUGUUUUUCGAAUGGAUUAUCGAACAAAAGGUUAGAAUCGCCUUGUUAUUUAUUUUCCUCGCCAUUGUUAAAUACCUUCUAAAUUGCUCAGAUUAUUUCAGGCGAGUCUCAUAUUUUUUGCGGCGUGCUGAAUUUUUCUCUCUGUAAUACUCUUCUUUUCGUCGGAGUGAAAUUUUUCUAUCAAAAAUAUUUACUUUAUCAGCAAUCUCUUCACAGUACGUAGAAGGUUCGUCGUAAUUAAAAUUCCAUUUCUCUUCCAUCAGCAGCAUAAUUAAUGGUCUAAGACACUCGUCUGUUAUCAAAUAACAUUUCUACUUUACAAAACCACGAUAUUACUUACAAUUUUUGUCCCAAAAUGAUCUAUAAAAACUAUUUGUUAAUUAAAAUCCACCCUCGACAUUUAUACGUUCCAAAUCUGUUGUCUUCGUCUUAAUUAAAAUUGUCAAAUAUUCAUCUCUUUGUAGAUUAUAUAAUUUGCAAUAUCCCGAAUCUUCCACCCUCACAGCAAUUAAAAUAAAAAUAUCUUGGCUACUUCCAGAAUUAUAAUUCGAAAGCUCGCUAGGUAUAACGAUAUAAUUGUCAUUAAAAAAUUCCAGGAUAUUCAUUUCUCUCAAAAUCACAAUCCACCCCUUCACAACGUCUUGAAUCAUUCACCCUCGCAGUAAUUAAAAUUAAACAAGCUUGUCUUUUCGAGAAUGGCAGACCCAAUCGAAAAUCACAAUCAGCUCUUAACAAUAUCGCAAAUCAUUCAUCGCCCAGAGUAAUUAAACUUAAGCGAGUUUGUCCUUUGCAGAGUUACAACGUAUACCGGAAAAAACUCGAAACUUUUCACUCUGCAAAUGUCAUUAAAAUUCCAAAAUAUCCACUUGCCUGAGAAUCGCAAUCUACCCGUAACAAUAUCCCAAAUCAUUCUCAACCCCUGUAACGAAACUUCGCAAAGCUUCAUCAGAAUUAAAAUGCUCGCCCCUAGCAGCCAGGUCUUAAAAUAACGAAACAAAAUGACCUAGAAGAUAUACCUGGUGUCUCGGCUAAAUGAGAUCACCUAAAUACCUGCCUUAUCUACGAUUGUAUGAAAAAAUCUUUAUUUCAUGGGGCGCGUGAAACGGUGGAACGAAUUUUUUCUCGUUCAUUUUUUUUUUUUUUUUUUUUUUUUUAAGGAGAUUCCAAGGCCAACGGUAUAUUUACGAAUAGAACUUAAUAUACUCCUUUGCAUCGGUAGAUAUGACUUUUCAUUUUGUACAGUGAAAAGUAUCAAGGUGCUUUGCGUUUGAAAACGCUUCGUUUAAAAUACACCUUAAUUUCGUGAAACUGGUGAAAAGUUUUCCGAAGGUUUGAGUACAAAUACUCUUGCAUUUACGUUUCCCUUUAUUACCCUUGAUAUUUUCAUUCAUACAAAGUAUACAGAGCUGUGUAUAAAAAGACUGAAAAGACCUUGAAAUCCCCUGAAAGAAACGAGGUGAAAAAAUUCUUUCCACCGUUACGCGUGCCCCUUCAAAUUAGCUUAACUUUGCCCCGAACAAUCUUUUUCGCGCAAUCGUAAAUAAGGCAAGACAGAUUUAAUAUACGCGGUUUCGUUUAUCCGAGACAUCCUCCAUCGUAAUCCGUCUAAUAAAUUACGCUACAGCUGGUAAACAUUAUAUCAGAUGGUAAAUUAAGAUGGAGCUUUAAGAAGUAAACUAUGGCAGAAGCAGAACGUAUCAAACGUGCACAUGCUGAGAAAAGAUAGCAAUGGACAUAAGCUUCGCUGCAACGAACAAACGUCCACAACAUACAUAACAUACAUAGUGUAUUAAGAUACCAAUAUAAUCUAACAUAAUACAAUUAAUUGAGAAUACGAUUAAAAUUCUAUCCGACCGAACUUGACCCUUUAACAAGCCUUCUAACAACCCUGAAAAAUCCUUCUACCGAACUGCAAACCCAUCCAGCUGAACGUCACUGGCGUCCUCAAAAACCAUCCUCUCCAUCUGUCGACGCGUCCAUCCAACAUAAUGCAAAAGCUUUUGUCUACGAGAGCGAGAGAACGAGACAAGAUUCGCGUGUGAUUACUAAAAGUUCGUCUCUCGUCUUUCCUGCGUUCUCGGUGGCCUCGUCCGACGCCAGUUCCCUCUCGUUUCGCUUAUUCAGGGUUCGCUGCGACGAGCAACUGGCGCGCUUCGUCUUCUUCUUUUGAUUGGUUCGUUAGCAGAGAGACCGGCGCCCAUUCUACGUUACGUCGUGGAAUCAUAAAACGAACAGAGUGUAAAGAUCAGGGAGAAAGCGGAAGGGAUGAAAAGGCAGAAAGCCGGAGAGACCGAGAGAGGCGAGGCGAAGAGUCUUCUUCCGCGUCCUUGACUCCUAGAGUCCUCGUCUCUUCUUGCGCGAAGAAACCAACAGAAAUUACAGGGAACAGCGAUGACGCGGCGCUCCGCCAACAUCAUGCGAAUGAGAGAACGGGAUAGACACGUUUUGUUGCUUACCAAGGUAUUCGAAUUCCUCUAGACAUUUUUCUUGUUUUCGUUUUUUGGGAAUAUGUUGCGCGUCUUGUACGGAACAGCUCGAAAUUUCGCUCGCAAUAUUGAAAUCGAGUAUCGUGAUCGCGUUAGUAGACUAUACGCGAAAAAAGAAGUCGAAAAUAUCGAAUAAAAACGUUUUUUUUAAUUUUUCCAUCGAGACAACGAUGUACAGUGAGAUCCGUUAUAACGAGACGCGAUAAAGUGCACGCGUACCGAGCGAAAAUUCAAAGUCGAUUUCCUCGAAAACAAAGCCUCGAACGAAAAAAUUUUAUUCUAUAUUUUCGACUUCUUUUUUCGCGUAGAAUCACCCCCUUUCAGCUUGUACCACCAGUUACCAACCACUCUGUAUAUUAGGUUGCAAAAAGUUUCUUUGGUUUUAUGAGGAAACAUUUUAUCAGAAGCACAAGAUCUUUUCUUUUAUAUCGUUUUAUCGAAUUAUGCACGAUCCAUUUUGUUCUGUUUAAGAUAAAAAUACAUUUAUACAAAAUUAUACGAAAAUGUUUGUAUAAAGAUGCGUCGUUGUAAUAGACGUGUUUGCAAAAGAGAGACACUUUUGGUACAAUUUAACAUAUGGACGUUCCAAUAUAUCUGUUACAAGCAUACAUUCUGUAUUAUUUAUUAAGACAUUGUGAGUUUUAUAUGGAACAUUUUGAAAUUUCAUUGGCGGUAUCGAAAAUCGAGUAUCGUGAUCGUGCUGGUAGGAAACGAGCCUGGAAAAUUGGUUUACCUACCACGUGUUACAGAAAGCACUAUACUUUGGAUGCUUCGUGUAUCUCUUCACAUUACGUGCAUUCUGUGCAAUUUUGCCCACGCAAAUUUCCUAUAAAAAUCCACGAUCUACUCGUAAUAUUACUAUCUCCUGCUAUUUAUUUUCUGUAUCUUCUAUGAGACGCUCGAUAUUUAACGUGUAUUCGUUAAUUCCACGAGAUACUGAUACAACGGUAUUUAUCGCUGAUUGCUUACUCUGCUAGACUCUAUAAAUUUUCUCUGGCAAGCGUUCAAAUACUUUCGCGACCCACUGUGUACAGAACAAAACGAGAGAAUCGUAGGAGUCCAAGAAGCAGUUCGACUCGUCUUUUCCAUAAUAAGAACACGGUGAGCGCAUCCUCCUCGAAGCGCACUCUGUUAACCAGUUAGCCGCGUUUGACGAGUAUACACGUCCGACAAAAACCUCGUUCCGCUGCGCGUUUCACGCGUAUGCUUGUCGUCGCUUGUAUUUAUUCACGCACUCUGUGACCCAACACGACCCCCGUGACAGAUUUCUAAAACUAAAUUCCGCUGUUGACUGGUUAAACACUUAACAUUUAACGUGUCUUCGGUGUUCAUUAACUCGCCGAUAAAACAUAUUAAUAGAAGAAAAUAAAACGAACAAGCAAAAGAAUACAAAUGAUCAUCACGAAGCAGCUGUAUACAACGCGAACAAAGUAGUUGUCCUUUGCUUUCUAACACAUUUCAGGGACACACUUUUCAAAGAGAUCGCAACAACUAACCGGUUGGUAGUUAGUAAUCGAUCGGAAAUAAAACGUUGUCAAUGGAAGGUCGCGCGUAACGAACGAUCGUCAACUAAUUCCACAAGAUGACGUACCGAUGCAACCAUCAACAUACUGAUCUAUCGACGAACGCUUGGCCUGCUUACCCUGCUGGACUCCCCGUCUCUGGCAAGCGUUCAAAUACUUUCGUGACCCAGUGUGUACGCAACAAAACAAUACAAUGGCAGCAGCGGCUUCCCAAGAAACGUAGGAGUCCGAGGAACUCAUCCUCUCGAUAGCAAGAACACCGUGCACCCUCCUCGAAGCGCGUAUGAAUUAUCAUUACGGAUGGUCAGACACGAAUAAGAGGCUGUGGAAUCUCGAGGAAAAAGCCUGGCCAGGCCACUGGUCGAGUGUUUUCAUGUAUAAUGGAUGAGAGACAGGCGCCAGCCGACCUAUGAGCAGGCCCGCAACCAUGAUCGCUGCGACAUCCCGGUCGACAGCUGGCCGAUUAUUCUCAGCCAGACACCGAAUCGACCUUCCUUCGUACUUGUCCCAACUGGCUCAUCCACUUUCUGCUUAUUCCUCGGCAUUCUAAUUCGCGUCCGCUCUCCACCAGGCUUCGCUCAACGUCGAUCCGGAUAUCCGCACGUGCGCAGCAACGCGACGAAUUUCCCAGUUUUCUUCUCGAAGACUCGUGAAAUCGAGGCUCGAGAUACAUUCGAGCAAAUGGAAACUCAACGAGUUUUCGCUGCGUCGAAUGGAGAGGAGGAUGAUGGUUUUAACGAUCCUUAGAGAUGGCAGACUGCCAGUCGAUCGGUUGCUGGCGAUGGGGAUAAAUGGUUUCUUGGAUGAUCUGACGCGGAUCGACCCGGCUCGUUAUAACGUGGCGCAGAUGUUACAUGUGUAAUGAAUCGGCUGAUUAUCUUCUGCUCUUAGGGGAAAUGAAUAUGAACGAUCAAUUCUGCUCGCUUCUGCUUCGUCUUUGCAUUGUAUUUCCUCGGACGUCUUCCUUUUCCGAAUAUCUUGUUGCUGCAAGACCGCAAUAUGUAUAGACGCUAAUGAAAUUAUGUUGGAUAUUAAAAGCAAAUACUUGAGAGCUGUAUAUAUAUAUUUCGAUGAUAUCCGUCGAAAUAUAACGUCCAUUUUCGGUCAUUUAGAUUCGAGAGAACAGGUUUAGGCAGAGCUAAUAUUUGCAAUUGUUACUUGCAAGAACUGCGGUACGUAAUUAACUUGACAUUCUCGGAAUAUUGACUUACAAAACAUUUGCAUAUACUGCGUUGUUGUUUAUCGUUAUUGCCAAAUAUAUAUCGUUGUGUGUAUUUGUAUACACUAAUUGGUAUACUUGUGUUGUUAUAUUAUUCUUAUUAUAUCAUUAUACAUUACUGUUAUUUAAAAGAAGCGCACUAUAAAAUUAUCUUCUCGAGUAAGAAGAUCGUUCACUCUUCCCUAGUGUGUGUGCAUCUCAGAAAAUAUUAUAAAAACUGCGUAUAAUUUCUUCUUUUUUGAAUUGAAGAUACGUGUUACGAUUAUUCCCUGAUCAAAUGAAUAUUUUUAUACAUAUAUCGUUGUGUGCGUUUGUAUACACUAAUUGGUAUACUUGUGUUGUUAUAUUAUUCUUAUUAUAUCAUUAUACAUUACUGUUAUUUAAAUGAAGCGCAUUAUAAAAUUAUCUUCUUGAGUAAGAAGAUCGUUCACUCUUCCCUGGUGUGUGUGCAUCUCAAAAAAUAUUAUAAAAACUGCGUAUAAUUUCUUCUUUUUUGAAUUGAAGAUACGUUGAAGAUACGAUUAUUCCCUAAUCAAAUGAAUAUUUUUAUACAUAUAUCGUUGUGUGCGUUUGUAUACACUAAUUGGUAUACUUGUGUUGUUAUAUUAUUCUUAUUAUAUCAUUAUACAUUACUGUUAUUUAAAUGAAGCGCAUUAUAAAAUUAUCUUCUUGAGUAAGAAGAUCGUUCACUCUUCCCUAGUGUGUGUGCAUCUCAGAAAAUGUUAUAAAAACUGCGUAUAACUUCUUCUUUUUUGAAUUGAAGAUACGUGUUACGAUUAUUCCCUGAUCAAAUGAAUAUUUUUAUACAUAUAUCGUUGUGUGCGUUUGUAUACACUAAUUGGUAUACUUGUGUUGUCAUAUUAUUCUUAUUAUAUCAUUAUACAUUACUGUUAUUUAAAAGAAGCGCACUAUAAAAUUAUCUUCUUGAGUAAGAAGAUCGUUCACUCUUCCCUAGUGUGUGUGCAUCUCAGAAAAUAUUAUAAAAACUGCGUAUAAUUUCUUCUUUUUUGAAUUGAAGAUACGUUGAAGAUACGAUUAUUCCCUGAUCAAAUGAAUAUUUUUAUAUAAAGGUAAUAACACUUGGCGUGUCGUUCUAUGUGACAUGCUAGGGAAACGCGAAUGGAUUUAUCGCUCAGCCUAACACAUCGUAAUCAAAAUCUGCAAAAUCGUAGUUCUCCUCCAAUUAGCCUUAUCAAAAUCCAUUUGUGCCGACAAACAACUUUGUUUGGUAUGCAAUUAAGCUUGUUGGAUCGUACGAAGCCCUUGCAGCCCUUCCAAAGAGGGCUAUCUAUCCCAGGGAGAGCUAAACAAGACCUCUCAUCAAAAAUACCCCAUUCGCUCAAAGAACUCGCAAACGUAUACUACCCUUAACAAAGAGCUACGUGAUUCGUUUCUAAAAAGAAGAAAGGGGAAAAAAAUAGAAGAAGAAGAAGAAAAUAAAAUGGUCUCACAAGAUUUUCGUACCAACGUACGAGGGAGCAGCAGAAGAAGAAGAAAAAGAAGAAGGGGAGGAAAAAGAGUGUAGGAAAGAAGAAAGGGGUUGGCAGGCUCUUAAUUGGAAUUUAUUAGAACGAGUAUUCGAGUUCUGUGAAGCUGGUGAGUACUGUGCAAAAGUCCCACGUCACUCACUCGCUUGCCAAACGUACGUAUUUUAUUGUUAUUUUGCAAGUUAAUUUCCAACGUUUGGAAAAAUUAAUGGAACAGAGGGCUGGAUUAUUCGAAGCUCGAUUAUCCGAACCGGCGUCUCAUCGUCGUUAUCAGCACCGGUUCUUGGAACUGGCAAGAUUAUUACUUUAAACAAUAAACUUUCUUAACGUUAAGCAGUAUGCAAUUACUAUGUAUCGUACAUAUUUGGUUUUUGUUCUUUAUUCGUGUAAGAGGAUAUACGUAUCUAUGUAAUAAAUAAAAUGAUAGGUAUAUCGUUGUUUCAAAGAAUUUCUUCAGAAAUGAAUUAAUAUUAUAUUAAACGUGUUUUUUACAACAGUGCGCCUUCAUACAAACGUGAAAGCGAGUGUGUGAAAUGUCGCGGUGUUUAUCUCAACAGAACGAAAUGGAUCGUACGUAAUUCGGCAAAAUAAUAUAAAACAAAAAAACGUUGUGCGUCUAUUAUUUUUCCUCAUAAGACGAAAGAAACUUGUCGGACAACCUAAUAAUAUUUCGCGUGAUAUAUACAGCGGUGAUAGUCUUUUUACGGUUAAUUCCUAUGACUAUUCAUCGGAUAAAUAGAUACAUGUUUCAUUAUCCGAACAAUUCGAUUUUCCGAACCACCUCGGCCCCAAUUCAUUCGGAUAAUUAACAUUUAACUGUACAUUAAUAACGAGUAUGAUUAACAUUGAAAUAUUAGUAUUAAUAAAGAUACUGAAUAUUACAUAGUUAAUAGAUAGAUUAGAUGAACAGUAAAAUAAUUCAUGGUUAAUAUUAAACAAAUAGACAGUAGAUAUGUAACGAUAAAAUAAGGUUGUAUGUAUGUGUGUUUGUGUGUGUAGAUGAUGAAAUAAGAAUACAAGGAAAUAAGGAAAAUAAUCGUAAACCUAAGUAAAAAAAAAAAAAAAAAAAACUAAAUAAAAAUGAACUGCUAGUGCUACUAUCACUGAAUAUUAUCCUUUAAUUCGUCGCAUAAUUAAUUAAGAAGAGCUUCGUUGAAGAAUCAGAAUCGAUAUGGUGAAAAGUACGCGAAUAUGCAAUAUUUGCUUAUUUGUCACGAUGAAUUGAGCUACGUUACAACGUAUAAGUUUUCUCUUUCCCCUGGAAAAUUCGUUUUUUCUCACCUACAGUGUUCUCUGCAAGAACCUCUCGAUUUUAUGUUUCAUAGAACAAAGUUAUAAAAAUGUAAUAAAUCGUCAAGUUAAUAUACGACAGAGAAUUGGUGUUUUUUUUUUCAUAUUUGCAAUAAAAACUAUCGUACUCCGACCAGCUAUGCGAGAAUUUUUUUUUCCGUCGUUUUCAAGUGCCUACGAACCGAUUGCCAUUUAAAUCUCUCGGUAUCGCCAGAUUGCACCAGAUUUCACCGAGUCUAUCUUUCGAUCGAUGGUUACAACUCUGCUAAUUUUAUUUUGUACGAAACGCUGGCUUAUUUGACACGAUAAGAGCACUUUAUUUACAGUUUUAUUGUAUUUUAUCGCAACAGAAGAACCACCAACGUGCUGUCCCGAUCGAUUUCGCUUUUUCAUACGGAAACCUGUUGUAUUCGUUCGAAAUUCAAUCAAACUUCCUAGUUGGCUGGCCUUGAACAUCAAGAGUGCGCAAUUAUCGAAGUUGAACUUCGAAACUCGAUAAGUGGAUCGUGGAAACAGCGCUGUAAUAAUGUAUCGUGUAAUUUCGUAUUCGGUUUUCGUAAAUAUAGCCUAUAGUGACACGACUAAAGCACUAUGAAACUCUAGAAUUUUCGUAAUAGAAGUUGUACAGUUUUAAAGAGCAUUUCUGUCAAAAACUUCACAAAGAGAAAAAAAAAAAAAAAUAAAAAGAAGAAAAGAAGAAGAAAGACAGAGCACUUUAUGGUGAGCUGUAAUUUCGUUUAAAUAAUUGUCCAUCUAAAUUGUUCGUAGAAAGUCAAUCGAGCGUGUGAAAUCGCGAAACACUAACAAGGAAGGCAUCUCUCGCUGAUUUUGUCUCGUUUCGAAAUACGUUAUAGCGAAUGGACUGAAAAAUAACGUAUUUUUUUUUUUUUUUUCAAUUUUGUCGGCGGAAAAACAUUUUAAGGGAGUGGAGCAAACCAGCGAAAAUAAAAUCGUCAGGCGUCGAUUUCAUUGUUUCACCUAUACGAGCGCGGUACUCUUUUCACAUGAAAUCACCCGGAAAAAUUGUAUCGCAACAAGAGAUAAAAGACACGAUUUUGUUGAGCAAUUUUUUUAGCCUAAUCCCACAGCUCAACGAUGGCCAUAUAACAAUUUGUAAACGCAGAUGAAAUUGAAGCUGAAAAGUCUACAUCUAAAUACGUGUACUUUAUGUAAUAUUGGCUUGGCAACUAAGUGAUUGCGGAUUUUGUCAAUACCACCUGAUGACAAAAUCCGCGAUCACUUAGUUUCCAACCUGACACGAGAAAACUAAAUUCGCGUGUUUCCGGGCAUUUUCGAUAAAAUAACUUUUGAACAGAUAGCUAUCCUCCAACGUAUUUCGUCUCGUUCAAACGAGAAAAUAUAAUAAUUUACAACUUUUUUUUACCAUUAUGUAGCGUCCGUUAACAAAAAGUAUAUUUAUGACGAUUCGUUAUGAACUCAUCGGUAUAGUAACAGAAUAUCGCAAAAUUUUAGAUUUUUAAUUCGGUGGAAAAGGUCCCUCUCACGAUGGUCAUCGAACGGGACAUUUUCCAUUUACUUAGAAAUUCCGAAUUGUUUCAUUUUCCAUUGUCAUCGAUGUGCCUAUUUUUGUAAUGAUACCGAUGAUACGACGAUAGAUUUUUGUAAAA
Molecule: long non-coding RNA, 19774 nt
Organism: Bombus huntii
Lineage: Eukaryota; Metazoa; Arthropoda; Insecta; Hymenoptera; Apidae
Exons: 2
Source: RefSeq, a predicted model, not a curated record